Myotis daubentonii (Daubenton's bat) is the source of this 104-nucleotide small nuclear RNA. Lineage: Eukaryota; Metazoa; Chordata; Mammalia; Chiroptera; Vespertilionidae. The record is from RefSeq and is a predicted model, not a curated record.
GUGCUCGCUUCUGUGGCACAUAGACUAAAGUUGGAACAAUACAGAGAUUAGCAUGGCCCCUACGCAAGGAUGACACGCAGAUUUGUAAAAAACAAAACAAAACA